UUUUUUUUUAUAGGUUAGUGACUCUGAGUUGCCGCCCGGACGUUUGAGGUUGUGCCCGGCUGUAGGCUCUUACCACUUUGGUUUUCGUAUUUUCAAAACAAAUAUGAAUGCGAAUACGGAUGUUACCUGAUGCGGAUGAGGAUCUGAUGUUACUCCAAUACAUAUCGGAUGUUUAGUCAGAUUCGAAAUGGGUACGUAUAACAUCAGCAUAUAUUAGUUAAAGAAAAUAAAUAGCUACUCCCUCCGUUCGUAAAUAUAAGUCUUUGUAGAGAUUUCACUAUAAACCACAUACGGAUGUAUAUAGAUGCAUUUUGAGUGUAGGUAGUGAAAUAUCUACAAAGACUUAUAUUUAAGAACCGAGGGAAUACAAGAUAGUACAAAAUAAUCAACAUGCAACAUAUAAUAAGUUAAUAAUAGACAGAUUUAUGAAUAAACACUACUGUCAUGCAUAUUAAUUCCUAAGUUUUAUCAUACAAAAAGUAACUUUUGACAAUUUAUUAGGCUUUUAUGUUGGAUAAUUGACAUGUUAGGGUUAGAAUUCCCUAAUUCAGAUACAGAUAUAUCCACUUACACAUUAAUAUUUAAGUCAAAUUCUCUUAUCAUAUUUGUAUUUGUAAAACAAACACAGAUAUCUUGUACUUCCAUUUCUAUUCCAGUUUCAGUUUCAGAUGUUUCAGAUAUGAAGGCAUUCAAUGCAAAGAAAAAAAGAUACAAAUAGACAUUUCCUCAAAUACAAAUAUCAGAUAUUUUGGAUUAUGCCCUACCAUUUUCCACCCCUACAUAUCAGUGUUGAUCAAAGUAUGCCGUAAGAUCACAUUCAUGGAACCAAGUAGUAUAACCAUUGGUAUCACCGUACCAGCAUCAAUGCAAUUUUACAGUGCUGAUAAGCUCAAGAUUACCUCUAGUGAUCAAAUCACAGAUCCAUGGACAAAACAAUAUCAGUUAUGAUGGGGUACAUAGGGCUGGGAAUGGAACAUUUAAAGACACGAUUUGAGAAUGAGGGCAACCAAAAGAGGCAUGUAAUUUGAUGCAAAAUUCCACCAACAUAUCAGACGAAACUCGCGUACAUGACAAAACCGGUCCACUGGCACAAAUAAGGUAGGUCAGAGUUCUUGAAAGGGGAGGUCUCUAAUGGCGCCGCUUAACUUAUAACCCUUCACAACAGUAAACACGCAUCAAAAUCAC
Molecule: long non-coding RNA, 1185 nt
Filed under: Triticum aestivum (bread wheat)
Lineage: Eukaryota; Viridiplantae; Streptophyta; Magnoliopsida; Poales; Poaceae
Description: long non-coding RNA (TAES_LNC004738)
Source: RNAcentral